This 1110-nucleotide long non-coding RNA is filed under the name Macaca fascicularis (crab-eating macaque). RNAcentral's name for it is "lncRNA (ENSMFAG00000056507.1)". The record is from RNAcentral. Lineage: Eukaryota; Metazoa; Chordata; Mammalia; Primates; Cercopithecidae.
AUGCCUCACCUGGCCACAGACCCUGGGGCAGAGCUGGGGUGCCGGGUCCAGGUAUCCAGGCCCCAGCACACUCACCGCCUCCUCAAACUGGCGCUUGUAGCUCUUGACCUUGCUCUGCAGCUUGUCCACCAGGUCCUGCAUGCGAGCCAGGUUCUUCCUGUCCUCCUCGGCCUGGGCAGGCAAGGGGGACUCAGGGCUUGCUUAGGCUGGGCCAGCUCCAGGGCCACUCCCGAGGGAGACCCGGUUACCCACCUGGUAUGCGAGCUCCUUGACGCGGCGCUCAUGCUUACGCACGCCCUUAAGGGCCUCAGCGUGCUUCUUCUGCUCUGCGUCGAGCUCGGCCUCCAGCUCCCGUACCUGCAGGCAGGGGUACCGCCUGUUGCCCAGCCCACCCCUGGGUCACCCACCCUGCCUGGGCCAAGGACUAGAGGGGCCGCACACACCUUGGCCUCCAGCUUCUGCACCUGCUUCUUCCCGCCACGGAGGGCGGCCUGUUCUGCCUCCUCAAGGCGGGCCUGGAGCUCGCGCACCGUCUGCUCCAGUGUCUUCUUCAUCCGCUCCAGGUGUGCGCUUGUGUCCUGCUCCUUCUUCAGCUCCUCGGCCAUCAUGGCUGCCUUUGGGGGAGAAGGGGCUGGUCAGGUGCCCCGCCUCAGGGAAGUCCCUCUGCAUUGUCCCAGGCUUCCCACAGCCCUUGCCCAGCCUCACAUCCGUGAUGGCCUUUUUGGCCUUCUCCUCAGCCUCCCGCCUCUCCUGUGCAGCCUCCUCCACCUCCCCGCUCAGCUGGGCCAAGUCUGCCUCCAGCUUCUUCUUUUGGUUCAGGAGGCCUGUGUUCUGAGGGGAAGCAGAGUCUCAGAGCCAGCCAACAGGCCUGCACCUGCUCUGUCCCCAGGGACUCCUGUCCCCACCUGCGAAUGCAGGAGGUUGAGGCGCUCGGUGGCCUCCAACAGCUCCUGCUCUGCCAGCCGCCGGCUGCGCUCGCCCUGCUCCAGGGCAGCCCGCAGCUCCUCCAGUUCAUGGCCAGCAGCGCAGCCCGGCUCAGAGCCUGUGCUUGCUCGCGGAGCUCAGCUGCCAGCCGCUGUUCCUCGUCCCGCCCUGCCUGCUCCUCCUUGA